ACAGCUCAAAUUUAAAAUCUGGUGGUCUUUGGUCACCCGAGUUGUAGUCUAGAGAAGUGUUUUCUGUGCUGGACCAUGUACAAGUCUCUUGGAACAGAGCGUCAUAGAGGGUGAGAAUCCCGUCCUUGACAUGGACCCCCAGUGCUAUACGAUGCACUCUCAAAGAGUCGAGUUGUUUGGGAAUGCAGCUCAAAAUGGGAGGUAAAUUCCUUCUAAAGCUAAAUAUUGGCGAGAGACCGAUAGCGAA
RNAcentral lists this ribosomal RNA (247 nucleotides) under Botryobasidiaceae sp. Its description in RNAcentral is "partial 28S ribosomal RNA". It matches the Rfam family "Eukaryotic large subunit ribosomal RNA", at positions 104 to 344 of the family's 3401-position model. The record is from RNAcentral. Lineage: Eukaryota; Fungi; Basidiomycota; Agaricomycetes; Cantharellales; Botryobasidiaceae.